RNAcentral lists this ribosomal RNA (465 nucleotides) under uncultured Klebsiella sp. RNAcentral describes it as "bacterial SSU rRNA". It matches the Rfam family "Bacterial small subunit ribosomal RNA", at positions 338 to 795 of the family's 1533-position model. The record is from RNAcentral. Lineage: Bacteria; Pseudomonadati; Pseudomonadota; Gammaproteobacteria; Enterobacterales; Enterobacteriaceae.
CCUACGGGUGGCUGCAGUGGGGAAUAUUGCACAAUGGGCGCAAGCCUGAUGCAGCCAUGCCGCGUGUGUGAAGAAGGCCUUCGGGUUGUAAAGCACUUUCAGCGGGGAGGAAGGCGGUGAGGUUAAUAACCCCAUCGAUUGACGUUACCCGCAGAAGAAGCACCGGCUAACUCCGUGCCAGCAGCCGCGGUAAUACGGAGGGUGCAAGCGUUAAUCGGAAUUACUGGGCGUAAAGCGCACGCAGGCGGUCUGUCAAGUCGGAUGUGAAAUCCCCGGGCUCAACCUGGGAACUGCAUUCGAAACUGGCAGGCUAGAGUCUUGUAGAGGGGGGUAGAAUUCCAGGUGUAGCGGUGAAAUGCGUAGAGAUCUGGAGGAAUACCGGUGGCGAAGGCGGCCCCCUGGACAAAGACUGACGCUCAGGUGCGAAAGCGUGGGGAGCAAACAGGAUUAGAUACCCGGGUAGUC